GCAGCCGCCGCGGUAAUACGUAGGUGGCAAGCGUUGUCCGGAAUUAUUGGGCGUAAAGCGCGCGCAGGCGGAGUGAUAAGUCUGUCGUAAAAGUUCGGGGCUCAACCCCGUAAGGUCGAUGGAAACUGUCAUUCUUGAGUGCAGGAGAGGAAAGUGGAAUUCCCAGUGUAGCGGUGAAAUGCGUAGAUAUUGGGAGGAACACCAGUGGCGAAGGCGACUUUCUGGACUGUGUCUGACGCUGAGGCGCGAAAGCCAGGGGAGUGAACGGGAUUAGAUACCCCGGUAAUCCUGGCUGUAAACGAUGGGUACUAGGUGUUGGGGGUAUCGACCCCUCCAGUGCCGGAGUUAACGCAAUAAGUACCCCGCCUGGGGAGUACGGCCGCAAGGUUGAAACUCAAAGGAAUUGACGGGGGCCCGCACAAGC
Molecule: ribosomal RNA, 424 nt
Filed under: uncultured bacterium
Lineage: Bacteria
Description: bacterial SSU rRNA
Rfam family: Bacterial small subunit ribosomal RNA
Source: RNAcentral